GAUGAACGCUGGCGGCGUGCCUAACACAUGCAAGUCGAGCGAACAGACCAGAAGCUUGUUUUUCUGAUGUUAGCGGCGGGCGGAAGAGUAACGAGCGUAUACCCUACAUAUAAGACUGGGAUAAAUUCGGCAACCCGGAGCUCAUACCGGAUGAUAUUUUGAACCGAAUGGUUCAGAAGUGAAAGACGGUCUUGCUGUCACUUAUAGAUGGAUACGCGCUUCCUUAGCUAGUUGGUAAGGUAACGUCUUACCAAGGCAACGAUGCAUAGCCGACCAGAGAGAGGAAUAGGAGACGGUCGAAGGGGAAGACGGUCCAGACUGCUACGGGAGGCAGCAGUAGGGAAUCAUGCGAGAUGGGAGAAAGCAUGACGGAGCAACGCGGGGUGGGUUAUGAAGGUCUUCGGAUCGUAAAACUCUGGUAUUAGGGAAGAACAUAUGUGUAAGUAGCUGAACACGUCUUGACGGUACCUAGUCAGAAAGCCACGGCUAACUACGUG
This 497-nucleotide ribosomal RNA is filed under the name uncultured bacterium. Its description in RNAcentral is "partial 16S ribosomal RNA". It matches the Rfam family "Bacterial small subunit ribosomal RNA", at positions 28 to 507 of the family's 1533-position model. The record is from RNAcentral.